Molecule: ribosomal RNA, 372 nt
Filed under: uncultured organism
Description: partial 16S ribosomal RNA
Rfam family: Bacterial small subunit ribosomal RNA
Source: RNAcentral
GUAGGUGGCAAGCGUUGUCCGGAAUUAUUGGGCGUAAAGCGCGCGCAGGCGGUUCUUUAAGUCUGAUGUGAAAGCCCACGGCUCAACCGUGGAGGGUCAUUGGAAACUGGAGAACUUGAGUACAGAAGAGGAAAGCGGAAUUCCACGUGUAGCGGUGAAAUGCGUAGAGAUGUGGAGGAACACCAGUGGCGAAGGCGGCUUUCUGGUCUGUAACUGACGCUGAGGCGCGAAAGCGUGGGGAGCAAACAGGAUUAGAUACCCGUGGUAGUCCACGCCGUGAACGAUGAGUGCUAAGUGUUAGGGGGUUUUCCGCCCCUUAGUGCUGCAGCUAACGCAUUAAGCACUCCGCCUGGGAGUACGGCCGCAAGGCUG